UGGGUCUUGGCUCGGCCACUGGAAAGCCUCUACCCUAAUCCUAGAUGAUAGUGGCUGCCAGUUAUUGAGGGCCUGUCCUUAACCAGCUCCUCUGUCAACACACCCUGAUUGAACUCCUAUAACACUCCUGCAAGCCAGAUGCAGCGCAUCCAGUGGAUAAUUUGCAGGCCCUCACAGUUGGUGGAGCUUCAAGAUGGAAGGAGCCUGGGUCCCUGAAUGACUGAGUGGAGCAGAAUUCCCCCGACCCUGUCUCCCAUCCCAGCUUAAAGUCAGGACCGUCCACCACCUCUAUGGUGACCUGAAGAAUUCAGAACAGGCCAGGGUCAAUGAGGAGUCAACAGCCUCUAAGCCGGGUGACCCUUGGAAGACAGUCUGAGAGAACGGAG
Molecule: long non-coding RNA, 386 nt
Organism: Orcinus orca (killer whale)
Lineage: Eukaryota; Metazoa; Chordata; Mammalia; Artiodactyla; Delphinidae
Exons: 3
Source: RefSeq, a predicted model, not a curated record